GGGAGCGUAGCUCAGUUGGCAGAGCACCACGCUGUGGCCGUGGCGGUCGCGGGUUCAAGUCCCGUCGCUCCUCCCA
RNAcentral lists this transfer RNA (76 nucleotides) under Pseudomonadota bacterium. Its description in RNAcentral is "tRNA-His". It matches the Rfam family "tRNA". From Rfam's summary of the family: Transfer RNA (tRNA) molecules are approximately 80 nucleotides in length. Their secondary structure includes four short double-helical elements and three loops (D, anti-codon, and T loops). Lineage: Bacteria; Pseudomonadati; Pseudomonadota. RNAcentral also lists the same sequence under 1 other name. The record is from RNAcentral.